This 460-nucleotide ribosomal RNA is filed under the name uncultured bacterium. Its description in RNAcentral is "partial 16S ribosomal RNA". It matches the Rfam family "Bacterial small subunit ribosomal RNA", at positions 338 to 795 of the family's 1533-position model. The record is from RNAcentral.
CCUACGGGUGGCAGCAGUGAGGAAUAUUGGUCAAUGGGCGAGAGUCUGAACCAGCCAAGUCGCGUGAAGGAUGACGGCCCUAUGGGUUGUAAACUUCUUUUGUAGGGGAGUAAAAUGCUCCACGUGUGGGGUUCCGUAUGUACCAUAAGAAUAAGGAUCGGCUAACUCCGUGCCAGCAGCCGCGGUAAUACGGAGGAUCCGAGCGUUAUCCGGAUUUAUUGGGUUUAAAGGGAGCGUAGGUGGAUAGUUAAGUCAGGUGUGAAAGUUGGCGGCUCAACCGUUAAAGUGCAGUUGAAACUGGUAGUCUUGAGUACAGUAGAGGUGUGCGGAAUUCGUGGUGUAGCGGUGAAAUGCUUAGAUAUCACGAAGAACUCCGAUUGCGAAGGCAGCACACUGGAGUUCAACUGACACUGAGGCUCGAAAGUGUGGGUAUCAAACAGGAUUAGAUACCCUUGUAGUC